This 249-nucleotide long non-coding RNA is filed under the name Homo sapiens (human). Its description in RNAcentral is "HSALNT0130701". Lineage: Eukaryota; Metazoa; Chordata; Mammalia; Primates; Hominidae. The record is from RNAcentral.
UCAGAAUCCAAGGAAGAGGAGAAGACCUCGGAACUUUGCACUCCCAACUUGCCUGAUGGCUCAAAUGAAGAUUUCUGCUGAGCAGAAGGUGACCAGCAAGACUCACCAGUCAACUCCACCGACCUGGGGGCAGAUUAAGAGAUUGACCCAGCUUGCAGAAGAGGACCUGAAGUCUCAGGACAAACCGUGGACCUCCUGCAAUCUGCUGGUGGACUGAUUUCAUAUUGUUCAAACACGUUUUACAAUCAA